AGCGAACGCUGGCGGUAGGCUUAACACAUGCAAGUCGAACGGCAGCACAGUAAGAGCUUGCUCUUAUGGGUGGCGAGUGGCGGACGGGUGAGGAAUACAUCGGAAUCUACUUUUUCGUGGGGGAUAACGUAGGGAAACCUACGCUAAUACCGCAUACGACCUACGGGUGAAAGCAGGGGAUCUUCGGACCUUGCGCGAAUGAAUGAGCCGAUGUCGGAUUAGCUAGUUGGCGGGGUAAAGGCCCACCAAGGCGACGAUCCGAAGCUGGUCUGAGAGGAUGGUCAGCGACACUGGAAGUGAGCCACGGUCCAGACUCCUGCGAGAGGCAGCAGUGGGGAAUAUUAGGCAAUGGGCGCGAGCCUGAUCCAGCCAUACCGCGUGGGUGAAGAAGGCCUUCGGGUUGUGAAGCCCUUUUGUUGGGAGAGAAAAGCAGCAGGUUAAUACCCCGCUGUUCUGACGGUACCCAAAGAAUAAGCACCGGCUAACUUCGUG
RNAcentral lists this ribosomal RNA (492 nucleotides) under uncultured bacterium. Its description in RNAcentral is "partial 16S ribosomal RNA". It matches the Rfam family "Bacterial small subunit ribosomal RNA", at positions 29 to 507 of the family's 1533-position model. The record is from RNAcentral.